RNAcentral lists this ribosomal RNA (365 nucleotides) under Pseudo-nitzschia delicatissima. RNAcentral describes it as "eukaryotic LSU rRNA". The stretch from base 309 to 365 matches the Rfam family "Eukaryotic large subunit ribosomal RNA", at positions 1 to 57 of the family's 3401-position model. Lineage: Eukaryota; Bacillariophyta; Bacillariophyceae; Bacillariales; Bacillariaceae. The record is from RNAcentral.
GAUCCCACUCAGCGCUGGUGAUGAUCUAAAAAAAAUCACCGGUCGCUGGUUGCUUUGGCUUUGACGGUGGUUAGUUGCUCUAGUCUCUAGUAGCCGCUGCUGUCUUUGCUUAAAUUCUACAUCACUGUACGUGCAUAGAUCUAGAAAUGUCAUGGUUGUUCUGUCUGAAUGACGGCGUUGACACUCUCAUCUAUCUCUGGUAGCUUGUCUCUGGAGUUGAAACUGAGUUUGCUGUUAGCUGUUUGCCAAACGUUCCCGGUCAGUGUCUACGAUCUGGGUAGUGGUGCCACCACUAUCUACACAAUUCCGGAUCUCAGAUCAAGUAAGAUUACCCGCCGAAUUUAAGCAUAUCAAUAAGCGGAGGA